UAUGCACCGGUGUGGUCACUCAGCCUGGCCUGCACCCUCUAGCAAUCCGGGACCCCUUGGGGGAUGUUGGAGAGCCAGUUUUGGCCCAAUCCCUGCAGGCCAGGCUGAGGGACCCCACCGGUGCACA
This 127-nucleotide microRNA precursor is filed under the name Myotis davidii. RNAcentral's name for it is "mir-9193 microRNA precursor family". It matches the Rfam family "mir-9193 microRNA precursor family". Lineage: Eukaryota; Metazoa; Chordata; Mammalia; Chiroptera; Vespertilionidae. The record is from Rfam by way of RNAcentral.